AAACCAGCGCUUUGUGUUUGUUUGUGUUGCAUUGGCCAUUUUGGGUCAAGUUCAGCCUCGGGACAGUUAGGCCUCCCUCCCUCUGGGCUCCUGGAAUGGAGCCACGAACCUUCUAAUUGAUUGUUUAAUUACGGAGGUUUCCAAGUUACAGCUGCUUGGAGCCUCUCCAUGAUUUAUUCUGCAAAAUAAAAACCUCUCUUUCCUCGCAGGUCCGUGCCAGGAGUAAAUAACCUUCCUGAUUUAGGAGACUGGACAGCAUCUUCUAGAAAGAAGCUCACAAGACCAGGGCGGGUGUGACUCGGCCGUGGUGUUCUUGACAACAAACUCUUUAAUGUUCAUCCGCAGCAGCCUUCCCUUUCCUGACUCAGGCAGCAACCUCACAAAGGCCAAGGGGCCGAGAGGUUGAGACCACGGCGAGUCUCAGCGGAGCAGCUCACUCUGCACGGGCCUGACGUGCUUGGAAAUGCUGUGCUCAGAUGCGCCAACUGAAACAACUGCUCUUGACCUGGUAACAUCCUGUGGCUGCCAAGUGCUCACAGCGCAAGGGGCACUGGGUCCCCACGUGGCCAGGAUGCCGAAUGACCACAUCCUUCUUCUGAGCCCAGAGAUCCGAGCACACGACUCUGAGUCAUCCAGCUGA
RNAcentral lists this long non-coding RNA (640 nucleotides) under Bos indicus x Bos taurus (hybrid cattle). Its description in RNAcentral is "lncRNA (ENSBIXG00005023847.1)". The record is from RNAcentral. Lineage: Eukaryota; Metazoa; Chordata; Mammalia; Artiodactyla; Bovidae.